Molecule: ribosomal RNA, 580 nt
Filed under: uncultured bacterium
Lineage: Bacteria
Description: partial 16S ribosomal RNA
Rfam family: Bacterial small subunit ribosomal RNA
Source: RNAcentral
UGGGGAAUUUGGACAAUGGGCGAAAGCCUGAUCCAGCAAUGCCGCGUGUGUGAAGAAGGCCUUCGGGUUGUAAAGCACUUUUGUCCGGAAAGAAAUCCUUGGCUCUAAUACAGUCGGGGGAUGACGGUACCGGAAGAAUAAGCACCGGCUAACUACGUGCCAGCAGCCGCGGUAAUACGUAGGGUGCAAGCGUUAAUCGGAAUUACUGGGCGUAAAGCGUGCGCAGGCGGUUUGCUAAGACCGAUGUGAAAUCCCCGGGCUCAACCUGGGAACUGCAUUGGUGACUGGCAGGCUAGAGUAUGGCAGAGGGGGGUAGAAUUCCACGUGUAGCAGUGAAAUGCGUAGAGAUGUGGAGGAAUACCGAUGGCGAAGGCAGCCCCCUGGGCCAAUACUGACGCUCAUGCACGAAAGCGUGGGGAGCAAAACAGGAUUAGAUACCCUGGUAGUCCACGCCCUAAAACGAUGUCAACUAGUUGUUGGGGAUUCAUUUCCUUAGUAACGUAGCUAACGCGUGAAGUUGACCGCCUGGGGAGUACGGUCGCAAGAUUAAAACUCAAAUGAAUUGACGGGGUCAUAGCUG